Molecule: non-coding RNA, 558 nt
Organism: Pelobates cultripes (western spadefoot toad)
Lineage: Eukaryota; Metazoa; Chordata; Amphibia; Anura; Pelobatidae
Source: the annotation of a GenBank genome assembly
UGCCCCUUCUCGAUCUCUCUGCGCAUGCCCCCUCUCGCCCUAUGCCCCUUCCUCGAUCUCUCUGCGCAUGCCCCCUCUCGCCCUAUGCCCCUUCUCGAUCUCUCUGCACGCCCUUCGCUCUGUGCCUUUUCGCGCUCUCUGCGCAUGCCCCCCUCUCGCUCUGUGCCCCUUCUCGAUCUCUCUGCGCAUGCCCCCUCUCGCUCUGUGCCCCUUUUCGCUCUCUCUGCGCAUGCCCCCUCUCGCUCUGUACCCCUUCUCGAUCUCUCUGCGCAUGUCCCCUCUUGCUUUCCCUGCGCAUGCCCCCUCGUUCUCUCUGAGCAUGCCCCCUCUCGCUUUCCCUGCGCAUGCCCCCUCUCGUUCUUUCUACACAUGCCCCCUCUCGCUCUCUGCGCAUGCCCCCUCUCACUAUAUGCCCCCUCUCGCUCUCUCUGAGCAUGCCCCUUCUCGCUUUCUCUGAGCAUGCCCCUUCUCGCUUUCUCUGAGCAUGCCCCCUCUCGCUUUCUCUGCGCAUGCCCCCUCUCGCUUUCUCUGCGCAUGCCCCCUCUCGCUUUCUCUGCG